UGCAGUCGAGCGGAUGAAGGGAGCUUGCUCCUGGAUUCAGCGGCGGACGGGUGAGUAAUGCCUAGGAAUCUGCCUGGUAGUGGGGGAUAACGUCCGGAAACGGGCGCUAAUACCGCAUACGUCCUGAGGGAGAAAGUGGGGGAUCUUCGGACCUCACGCUAUCAGAUGAGCCUAGGUCGGAUUAGCUAGUUGGUGGGGUAAAGGCCUACCAAGGCGACGAUCCGUAACUGGUCUGAGAGGAUGAUCAGUCACACUGGAACUGAGACACGGUCCAGACUCCUACGGGAGGCAGCAGUGGGGAAUAUUGGACAAUGGGCGAAAGCCUGAUCCAGCCAUGCCGCGUGUGUGAAGAAGGUCUUCGGAUUGUAAAGCACUUUAAGUUGGGAGGAAGGGCAGUAAGUUAAUACCUUGCUGUUUUGACGUUACCAACAGAAUAAGCACCGGCUAACUUCGUGCCAGCAGCCGCGGUAAUACGAAGGGUGCAAGCGUUAAUCGGAAUUACUGGGCGUAAAGCGCGCGUAGGUGGUUCAGCAAGUUGGAUGUGAAAUCCCCGGGCUCAACCUGGGAACUGCAUCCAAAACUACUGAGCUAGAGUACGGUAGAGGGUGGUGGAAUUUCCUGUGUAGCGGUG
RNAcentral lists this ribosomal RNA (631 nucleotides) under Pseudomonas sp. Horo_2. RNAcentral's name for it is "bacterial SSU rRNA". It matches the Rfam family "Bacterial small subunit ribosomal RNA", at positions 56 to 683 of the family's 1533-position model. The record is from RNAcentral. RNAcentral also lists the same sequence under 1 other name. Lineage: Bacteria; Pseudomonadati; Pseudomonadota; Gammaproteobacteria; Pseudomonadales; Pseudomonadaceae.